UAUUUAGUUCAUUACGCACUGUCGCACUGAUGUAUAGGAUUCCCUCCUCUAGAUUUUAAUCCAAAAUCGUAGCCCAACAAAAACUAAACGACGCGUUUGACAAUUGUCAUGUCCCUUGUUAUUUCGAUACCGAAAUCGACUCCCGAUUCCGAGAGAGAGAGAGCUAGCGGAAGCGAUGGCUUUGACAGUGGCGUAGAGUGCGUUGGAGGCGAUUAGAGAGAAAGGUCUCGGCGGUUUCAUGAGGAUGAUCCGAGAAAAAGGCUUCAUAUUGUCUAUAGAAGAUAAAAGGAGUCAAGCUUUAUGACAUUUGCAAUGUCAUAUACACCAAGUCUCGUUGACCAACACAAAGAUAAGAAAUUGUUUUCUUAGAACAGGUAACUAACAUGUGUUUUACUUCAUAGGUGAAGCUUAACUUUUUUAUUAUGAAAGUGGAAGUAGCUGAUCGAUUAGUAAAGAGUCGUGUCAUCUGUCCUCAUAAGCAAUAGAGACAAAAUUUCAUUUCCAAGAGUUGUAGUAAUAUAGUUUUGAGUGUUGCUUAAUGAAAUAACUCAAAUUUA
Long non-coding RNA from Arabidopsis lyrata subsp. lyrata, 557 nucleotides. RefSeq lists it as uncharacterized. The record is from RefSeq and is a predicted model, not a curated record. NCBI's taxonomy places the organism in Eukaryota, Viridiplantae, Streptophyta, Magnoliopsida, Brassicales, Brassicaceae. The transcript is spliced from 2 exons.